AACGCAUAUGGCACCUAAGGCUCCGGCCGAGGGUAUGCCUGCCUCAGCGUCGUUCCAACCCCCUCUCCGAUCCCGCCUUUCCGAAGGCUGGGACCUCGGAGGAGCUGGCCUCUCCCCUUUCCAAGGGACUGGCUGAAAGGCAAGCGGUCCGGUCGAUCGACCGGCACCUGUGGUGGUGGCCUAGCGCCUCCCCUCUGGGCCGGACGGUCGCACUGCCAGCGGCCCGACCAAAGCAACCCCCAAUCAUUCGACCUGAGUUCAGGCAAGAGCACCCGCUGAACUUAA
This 285-nucleotide unclassified non-coding RNA is filed under the name Cladophialophora sp. RNAcentral's name for it is "partial contains 5.8S ribosomal RNA, internal transcribed spacer 2, and large subunit ribosomal RNA". The record is from RNAcentral. Lineage: Eukaryota; Fungi; Ascomycota; Eurotiomycetes; Chaetothyriales; Herpotrichiellaceae. RNAcentral also lists the same sequence under 1 other name.